RNAcentral lists this ribosomal RNA (605 nucleotides) under uncultured bacterium. Its description in RNAcentral is "bacterial SSU rRNA". It matches the Rfam family "Bacterial small subunit ribosomal RNA", at positions 202 to 805 of the family's 1533-position model. The record is from RNAcentral.
CAAAGGCUUCGGCCGGUAAAGGAUGGGGAUGCGUCUGAUUAGCUUGCCGGCGGGGUAACGGCCCACCGGGGCGACGAUCAGUAGGGGUUCUGAGAGGAAGGUCCCCCACAUUGGAACUGAGACACGGUCCAAACUCCUACGGGAGGCAGCAGCGAGGAAUAUUGGUCAAUGGGCGCGAGCCUGAACCAGCCAAGUAGCGUGCAGGACGACGGCCCUAUGGGUUGUAAACUGCUUUUAUACGGGGAUAAAGUAUGCCACGUGUGGUUUAUUGCAGGUACCGUAUGAAUAAGGACCGGCUAAUUCCGUGCCAGCAGCCGCGGUAAUACGGAAGGUCCGGGCGUUAUCCGGAUUUAUUGGGUUUAAAGGGAGCGUAGGCCGGGUUUUAAGCGUGCCGUGAAAUGUCGGGGCUCAACCUUGACACUGCGGCGCGAACUGGAGUCCUUGAGUGCGCGGAACGUAUGCGGAAUUCGUGGUGUAGCGGUGAAAUGCUUAGGUAUCACGAAGAACCCCGAUUGCGAAGGCAGCAUACGGCAGCGCUACUGACGCUGAAGCUCAAAGGCGCGGGUAUCGAACAGGAUUAGAUACCCUGGUAGUCCGCGCGGUAA